CCUGGCUUCGCGGCCGGCUGAAGUAUUUUUUUCACCCAUGUCUUUUGCGCACUUGUUGUUUCCUGGGCGGGUUCGCCCGCCACCAGGACCAAACCAUAACCCUUUUUUUUUAUGCAGUUGCAAUCAGCGUCAGUAAAAACAAUGUAAUUAUUACAACUUUCAACAACGGAUCUCUUGGUUCUGGCAUCGAUGAAGAACGCAGCGAAAUGCGAUACGUAGUGUGAAUUGCAGAAUUCAGUGAAUCAUCGAAUCUUUGAACGCACAUUGCGCCCUUUGGUAUUCCAAAGGGCAUGCCUGUUCGAGCGUCAUUUGUACCUUCAAGCUUUGCUUGGUGUUGGGCGUUUUUGUCUCUCUUUCUUGGGAGACUCGCCUUAAAACGAUUGGCAGCCGGCCUACUGGUUUCGGAGCGCAGCACAUAUUUUGCGCUUUGUAUCAGGAGAAAAGGACGGUAAUCCAUCAAGACUCUACAUUUCACUUUUGACCUCGGAUCAGGU
Molecule: ribosomal RNA, 494 nt
Filed under: Bipolaris sorokiniana
Lineage: Eukaryota; Fungi; Ascomycota; Dothideomycetes; Pleosporales; Pleosporaceae
Description: eukaryotic LSU rRNA
Rfam family: 5.8S ribosomal RNA (bases 155-308)
Source: RNAcentral